CACGAUGUAGCUCAGUGGGUAGAGCAUCAGACCGAUAAUCUGACCGUCGAGGGUUCGACUCCCUCCAUCACGGCCC
This 76-nucleotide transfer RNA is filed under the name Devosia insulae DS-56. RNAcentral describes it as "tRNA-Ile". It matches the Rfam family "tRNA". Rfam says of the family: Transfer RNA (tRNA) molecules are approximately 80 nucleotides in length. Their secondary structure includes four short double-helical elements and three loops (D, anti-codon, and T loops). The record is from RNAcentral. Lineage: Bacteria; Pseudomonadati; Pseudomonadota; Alphaproteobacteria; Hyphomicrobiales; Devosiaceae.